AUGGUUUCGGCUAUCACUUUAGGAUGGACCCGCGGUGCAUUAGUUAGUUGGUGAGGUAAAGGCUCACCAAGACCGUGAUGCAUAGCCGACCUGAGAGGGUAAUCGGCCACACUGGGACUGAGACACGGCCCAGACUCCUACGGGAGGCAGCAGUAGGGAAUCUUCCACAAUGGACGAAAGUCUGAUGGAGCAACGCCGCGUGAGUGAAGAAGGUUUUCGGAUCGUAAAACUCUGUUAUUGGAGAAGAAUGUAUCUGAUAGUAACUGAUCAGGUAGUGACGGUAUCCAACCAGAAAGCCACGGCUAACUACGUGCCAGCAGCCGCGGUAAUACGUAGGUGGCAAGCGUUAUCCGGAUUUAUUGGGCGUAAAGCGAGCGCAGGCGGUUUCUUAAGUCUGAUGUGAAAGCCUUCGGCUCAACCGAAGAAGUUCAUCGGAAACUGGGAAACUUGAGUGCAGAAGAGGACAGUGGAACUCCAUGUGUAGCGGUGAAAUGCGUAGAUAUAUGGAAGAACACCAGUGGCGAAGGCG
RNAcentral lists this ribosomal RNA (529 nucleotides) under uncultured Bacilli bacterium. RNAcentral describes it as "bacterial SSU rRNA". It matches the Rfam family "Bacterial small subunit ribosomal RNA", at positions 202 to 723 of the family's 1533-position model. Lineage: Bacteria; Bacillati; Bacillota; Bacilli. The record is from RNAcentral.